This 253-nucleotide ribosomal RNA is filed under the name uncultured bacterium. Its description in RNAcentral is "partial 16S ribosomal RNA". It matches the Rfam family "Bacterial small subunit ribosomal RNA", at positions 524 to 776 of the family's 1533-position model. The record is from RNAcentral.
UACGUAGGGCGCAAGCGUUGUCCGGAAUUAUUGGGCGUAAAGAGCUCGUAGGCGGCUUGUCACGUCGGGUGUGAAAGCCCGGGGCUUAACCCCGGGUCUGCAUUCGAUACGGGCUAGCUAGAGUGUGGUAGGGGAGAUCGGAAUUCCUGGUGUAGCGGUGAAAUGCGCAGAUAUCAGGAGGAACACCAGUGGCGAAGGCGGAUCUCUGGGCCAUUACUGACGCUGAGGAGCGAAAGCGUGGGGAGCGAUCCGG